RNAcentral lists this long non-coding RNA (522 nucleotides) under Mytilus galloprovincialis (Mediterranean mussel). Lineage: Eukaryota; Metazoa; Mollusca; Bivalvia; Mytilida; Mytilidae. The record is from RNAcentral.
AUUAACUUUUAACCUGCUGAUAUAAAAUUUUUAGCUGCUUGUAAUUGCAUGGUCCAUAGAUAUUUUACUUAAUAUGAAAUCACUUAAUUCGAACUUGUACUUCGGGUACAGAUCAGAUUUAAGGAACACAUAAAGUAAAGAACACAAAAGUUACAGAUAAUGAUCUCUUAGCGCUUAAAAACUUUGUACAAUAAAAAAUACAUCGUUUUCUAUCUGAAAGUGACUGGUGAAAAUGACUUAUGGACGGCUGUUCGAUAUAUUGUUCGGAAGGCAUCGUCUGUUUCGUUCAAAUAUAGAAUGAAAUUCAAAACAGUGCGGCUGUGGCCAUUGAUUGACACAUUAAAUUCAUCCAUUGACUGGGACAAUUUACGUAAACGUUUGUCUGUAACGACCACUGUUCACGACGUACCUACGAUAGACAUUUAAACUGUGGGGUCACCAAAGGUUUCUUAACGCCUUUAAUUAUAAAAUAAUUCGAAAAAAUAAUCAGGAAUAGCCUUUAUGUUUUGAUUUAUAUAAUUG